This 813-nucleotide ribosomal RNA is filed under the name uncultured Candidatus Saccharibacteria bacterium. RNAcentral's name for it is "bacterial SSU rRNA". It matches the Rfam family "Bacterial small subunit ribosomal RNA", at positions 138 to 981 of the family's 1533-position model. Lineage: Bacteria; Candidatus Saccharimonadota. The record is from RNAcentral.
GAGGGAUAACUGGCCGAAAGGUCAGCUAAUACCGCAUACACUCUACGGAGCAAAGCAGCAAUGCGCUUUGGGAAUAGCCUGCGUCCGAUUAGCUAGUUGGUAGGGUAAUGGCCUACCAAGGCGACGAUCGGUAGCUGUUCUGAGAGGAUGAUCAGCCACACUGGAACUGAGACACGGUCCAGACUCCUACGGGAGGCAGCAGUAGGGAAUUUUCCACAAUGGGCGAAAGCCUGAUGGAGCAACGCCGCGUGCAGGAUGAAGGCCUUCGGGUUGUAAACUGCUUUUAUCUGUGACGAUGAUGACAGUAGCAGAUGAAUAAGGAUCGGCUAACUCCGUGCCAGCAGCCGCGGUCAUACGGAGGAUCCAAGCGUUAUCCGGAAUUACUGGGCGUAAAGAGUUGCGUAGGUGGCAGAGUAAGUAGAUAGUGAAAGCGUUCGGCUCAACCGGAUACACAUUAUCUAAACUGCUCAGCUAGAGAAUGGUAGAGGUUACUGGAAUUCCCGGUGUAGGAGUGAAAUCCGUAGAUAUCGGGAGGAACACCAAUGGCGUAGGCAGGUAACUGGGCCAUUUCUGACACUAAGGCACGAAAGCGUGGGGAGCAAACGGGAUUAGAUACCCCGGUAGUCCACGCCGUAAACGAUGAAUGCUAGCUGUUAUAGGUAUCGACCCCUGUAGUAGCGAAGUUAACGCGUUAAGCAUUCCGCCUGUGGAGUACGGUCGCAAGACUAAAACAUAAAGGAAUUGACGGGGACCCGCACAAGCGGUGGAGCGUGUUGUUUAAUUCGAUGGUAAGCGAAGAACCUUACCAGGGCU